AAUAUUGCACAAUGGGGGAAACCCUGAUGCAGCGACGCCGCGCGAGUGAAGAAGUNUUNNGGUAUNUNAAGCUCUAUCAGCAGNNNNNAAAAUGACGGUCACUGACUAAGAAGAACCGGCCAACUACGUGCCAGCAGCCGCGGUAAUACGUAGGGGGCAAGCGUUAUCCGGAUUUACUGGGUGUAAAGGGAGCGUAGGUAGCAAAUCAAGUCAGAUGUGAAAGCCCGGGGCUCAACUCCGGGAUUGCAUUUGAAACUGGUAUGCUAGAGUGCAGGAGAGGUAAGUGGAAUUCCUAGUGUAGCGGUGAAAUGCGUAGAUAUUAGGAGGAACACCAGUGGCGAAGGCGGCUUACUGGACUGUAACUGACACUGAGGCUCGAAAGCGUGGGGAGCAAAC
RNAcentral lists this ribosomal RNA (396 nucleotides) under uncultured bacterium. Its description in RNAcentral is "partial 16S ribosomal RNA". It matches the Rfam family "Bacterial small subunit ribosomal RNA", at positions 360 to 773 of the family's 1533-position model. The record is from RNAcentral.